This is a long non-coding RNA of Salvelinus namaycush (lake trout), 1088 nucleotides long. RefSeq lists it as uncharacterized. The record is from RefSeq and is a predicted model, not a curated record. The transcript is spliced from 4 exons. Lineage: Eukaryota; Metazoa; Chordata; Actinopteri; Salmoniformes; Salmonidae.
CUGUGGAGAACACUAUAACCCCUAUGGGAGACAACAUGGCGCCUCGCAAGACCCAGACAGGGUACAGUUUCCUUGCCUUCACUCAGACAUGUUGGUGAUCUGGGGAAUAUUGUGGCUGGACCAGACGGCCGAGCCUCAUUCAGACUAGAGGACCCUUAGCUAAAGGUGUGGGGUGUGAUUGGUCGUUCUCUGGUGGUGGAUGCUGGGGAGGAUGACCUAGGAAGGGGUGGUCACCCCCUCUCCAAACUGACCGGGAACUCCGGACAGAGAAUGCCAAGCAGAUCUGUGCGUGUGACGUGGUGACACUAUGGGAGGAGAGUGACCGACCGCUGGCCGGAACGGGCCGCAGCAAGACCACCACAGAGACACCUGGCGCUCACCUGUGAUGCCAGAUGCCUAGGUCAUAUUCAUUAAUGCACAAUGUAGCAAAACGUUUUGCAACAAAAACUGAAAAUGAGAUCUCAUUGGAUAAGUCCAGGUUAUCUGUUCAUGUGUUCUGUUUUUUGCCUUGUGAGAAUUACCCUGAAUGGUGAACAUCACUGACUGUCGUUGAUGAUGUCGCACACUGACUGAAACUGCACUGAGAGAGUGGGAGACAGGGACAGUGGGAGAGAGGUUAAGGAGAGUGAGGAGGAGGAGGAGAGAUCAAAGAAUUGUCUGUUCAGCAGUCAUCUUCCUUUUUAUUGAGAUGCCAUAUCGAAUUCUUCUGAGACCGGAACCUUUCAUGACAGACUAAAGAAACACAACAGGAAUAGGAUGUAUGUUCUUAUUUCAAGCCAAAACAUCCCAUGCUGACUAUUCUGUUGUAGUUGACUAAUUUGAAUAGUUUUGUAAUAUUAAUGUGGAUGUUGUCAUUCUAUGUUUGAUCACAAUUUUGAUACUUAUCUCAAGUGUUCUACUUUGUAAAUAUCAGUACCUCCAAGGGAGAUUGUGGUUUACCUCCCAAAUGUAGUAUGAUUUUAUCAAAAUAUUUGUAACAAGUGUUGUAGAGAUUUUUUGUUGUUACUUUUCUCAGUCAGACUUGUAAUAAAAGGCACCAGUUGCCCUUUGGACUGAGCGAAACCUGUAUAUGAAUUGAUAAAUGACUG